RNAcentral lists this unclassified non-coding RNA (233 nucleotides) under rhizosphere metagenome. RNAcentral describes it as "partial ribosomal RNA internal transcribed spacer region". The record is from RNAcentral.
GUAGGUGAACCAGCGGAGGGAUCAUUACAGAGUUGCAAAACUCCCAAACCAUUGUGAACGAUACCCGUACCGUUGCUUCGGCGAGCCGGCUCCCCCCGUAACCCGGGUGGCUGCCGUAGCCCCUCUCGGGGGGCGGCCCGCCGGACGACACACUAAACUCUUGUCUCACACAGGCCUCUCUGAGAACUUAUACAAAUGAGUCAAAACUUUCAACAACGGAUCUCUUGGUUCUG